This 240-nucleotide ribosomal RNA is filed under the name uncultured bacterium. Its description in RNAcentral is "partial 16S ribosomal RNA". It matches the Rfam family "Bacterial small subunit ribosomal RNA", at positions 538 to 776 of the family's 1533-position model. The record is from RNAcentral.
GCGUUGUUCGGAUUUACUGGGCGUAAAGGGCGCGUAGGCGGUCAGCACAAGUCAGUUGUGAAAUCUCCGGGCUUAACUCGGAAAGGUCAACUGAUACUGUGCGACUAGAGUGCGGAAGGGGCAACUGGAAUUCUCGGUGUAGCGGUGAAAUGCGUAGAUAUCGAGAGGAACACCUGCGGCGAAGGCGGGUUGCUGGGCCGACACUGACGCUGAUGCGCGAAAGCCAGGGGAGCGAACGGG